RNAcentral lists this ribosomal RNA (49 nucleotides) under Plesiochorus sp. SCC-2013. RNAcentral's name for it is "partial 28S ribosomal RNA". The record is from RNAcentral. Lineage: Eukaryota; Metazoa; Platyhelminthes; Trematoda; Plagiorchiida; Gorgoderidae.
UGACCUCGGUUCAGACGUGAAUACCCGCUGAACUUAAGCAUAUCAUUAA